Molecule: ribosomal RNA, 292 nt
Filed under: uncultured bacterium
Lineage: Bacteria
Description: partial 16S ribosomal RNA
Rfam family: Bacterial small subunit ribosomal RNA
Source: RNAcentral
GUGCCAGCCGCCGCGGUAAUACGUAGGGGGCAAGCGUUGUCCGGAUUUAUUGGGCGUAAAGAGCGUGUAGGCGGCCGCACAGGUCCGUUGUGAAAACUGGAGGCUUAACCUUCAGACGUCGAUGGAAACCGUGCGGCUAGAGUCCGGAAGAGGAGAAUGGAAUUCCUGGUGUAGCGGUGAAAUGCGCAGAUAUCAGGAAGAACACCCGUGGCUAAGGCGGUUCUCUAGUACGGUACUGACGCUGAGACGCGAAAGCGUGGGGAGCGAACAGGAUUAGAUACCCCCGUAGUCC